UACUGUGGCAAUAUCAGCCUGUCAUUGCCUGAUCUCGUUAGAUCUCUGCAGCUAAGCAGGUCUGAGCCUGGUUUAGUAGGUGGAUGGGAGACCACUGAGAAUUCCAGGUGCCACAGUGG
This 119-nucleotide ribosomal RNA is filed under the name Gouania willdenowi (blunt-snouted clingfish). The record is from RNAcentral. Lineage: Eukaryota; Metazoa; Chordata; Actinopteri; Blenniiformes; Gobiesocidae.